UAAGGGUCGUUGUAGACUACGACGUUGAUAGGCUGCAGGUAUACGUGUCGAAAUACACUCAGCUGAGCAGUACUAAUUACCCAACAGCUUGCACA
RNAcentral lists this ribosomal RNA (95 nucleotides) under Dyadobacter soli. RNAcentral describes it as "23S rRNA. Bacterial LSU". It matches the Rfam family "Bacterial large subunit ribosomal RNA", at positions 2828 to 2925 of the family's 2925-position model. The record is from RNAcentral. Lineage: Bacteria; Pseudomonadati; Bacteroidota; Cytophagia; Cytophagales; Spirosomataceae.